AACGUAGGUGGCAAGCGUUAUCCGGAAUUACUGGGCGUAAAGGGUGUGCAGGCGGGAGUGUAAGUGGUGUAUGAAAUAUCCCAGCUUAACUGGGAGGGGUUAUGCCAGACUGCACUUCUAGAGGACGAGAGAGGGGGGUGGAAUUCCGGGAGUAGUGGUGAAAUGCGUAGAGAUCCGGAGGAACCCCAGAGGCGAAGGCGGCCCCCUGGCUCGUACCUGACGCUCAGCCACGAAAGCAUGGGGAGCGAACGGG
RNAcentral lists this ribosomal RNA (253 nucleotides) under uncultured bacterium. Its description in RNAcentral is "partial 16S ribosomal RNA". It matches the Rfam family "Bacterial small subunit ribosomal RNA", at positions 524 to 776 of the family's 1533-position model. The record is from RNAcentral.